UUACGCAGCACUGCUAUGGAGAGCCGUAGACUCAGUUCUUACACACACAGUCUCGCUCUGUCAGCCGGCAGAACAGGAACCAGAGGGAAGACUACAGUUCUGUCGCUGAGCUCUUUCUAAAAACAGCACUUGCCUAAUAAAGAUAUGGGGCUUGUGCCUUCCCUGUUCUCCUCUUCCACACUAUAAAUACUCUCGCUGAAGAUCAUACAGGCUUUGCUUGUUUCAGGUUCGUAUCUAAUAUACACUCUCUGAGAAGGAUAUCUGCUCCUCACUGCAUUACAGGAGUGAAGGGUCUUAAUCAGUUCUAAGGAUGCCCAGAGUGGACGCCGACCUCAAGCUGGACUUUAAAGAUGUCCUUCUCAGGCCAAAGAGGAGCAGCCUCAAAAGCAGAUCUGAGGUAGAUCUGGUACGCACAUUUACAUUCCGCAACUCCAAGCAGACCUACACCGGGAUCCCUAUUAUUGCAGCUAAUAUGGAUACUGUGGGUACUUUUGAAAUGGCAAAAACUUUGAGAAAGCAUACACUAUUUACGGCAAUUCACAAGCAUUAUACAUUAGAAGACUGGAAGAAAUUUGCAUCUACAUCUCCUGAAUAUCUUGAGCACGUAGCAGCAAGCUCUGGAAGUAGUCAAGCUGAUCUUGACAAGCUGAGUAGUAUCCUGGAAGCCAUCCCUCUCAUUAAAUAUAUUUGCUUGGAUGUAGCUAAUGGAUAUUCCGAACACUUUGUAGAAUUUGUGAAGACUGUACAUGCCAAAUUUCCAAACCACACUAUUAUGGCUGGAAAUGUGGUUACAGGUGAAAUGGUGGAGGAGCUCAUUCUUGCUGGAGCUGACAUCAUAAAAGUCGGAAUUGGACCAGGUUCUGUUUGUACAACUAGAAUUAAAACAGGCGUGGGCUAUCCUCAGUUAAGUGCUGUGAUUGAAUGUGCUGACUCUGCCCAUGGACUGAAAGGACACAUCAUUUCAGAUGGAGGCUGCAGUUGUCCUGGAGAUGUUGCCAAAGCUUUUGGAGCAGGAGCAGAUUUUGUGAUGCUGGGAGGAAUGUUUGCUGGCCAUGAUCAGUGUUCAGGAGAAAUCACAGAGAAAAAUGGAAAGAAGGUGAUGCUUUUCUAUGGUAUGAGUUCCGAUACAGCUAUGAAGAAGCACGCCGGUGGUGUGGCUGAAUACAGGGCAUCAGAAGGCAGGACAGUGGAGGUUCCUUACAGAGGAGACGUGAAUAACACUGUUCGAGACAUCUUAGGAGGACUGCGAUCCACUUGCACAUAUGUAGGAGCUGCCAAGCUGAAAGAGCUAAGCAGGAGGACAACUUUUAUCCGCGUGACUCAGCAAUUCAACCAGAUAUUUUCUUAAUGUAUAUGCAGUUUCCAUGCUAAGUUCAUCACAGAGCUGUCCAGUUGUUAAUUCCACAAAACUUUUCCUUGGUAAAGGAUAAACUAUGCAGUUGAUCAAUGGUGUUCCAACUGAGGCUCUUCAGUGAUUGCAAAACUACAACUCUUAGAAUGCUAAGAAUUUUAGUUUUUAAAACCACUAGAGUGCCUCCACAGGUUGAAGAUCAGUGCAGUAGAUACAUCAUCAUUUGUAAUCUGGUUUCUGGUUUAAAUCCCACCAGACUUUUAGGCUAUGGCCACAUGUUCAGGUUUCCUGACACAGUUUUAGAAGCUAAAACCAGGAGUGAAUUCAAUAAAGAGGAAAAGUUGUAUCUGCCCUUAAUACUUGGUCUCCUUUUAUGAUCUUGUUUGGUUUCCAAAACUGCAUCAGGAAACUAGGCCAUACCCUGAGGAUCUUAGUAACCAUAGGUAGAACCAGUUUAUAGACAGUGCACACAGCACUUGCUACGUAACACAUAUUAAUUUUUUUUUUACAGACAAAUGUGUAUUUAUUUAUUUCACAUUUUAGAAUAAUUUAACUUACACUGAUGACCCACUGAUUGUAUUUAAUUUGAUGCAUUAACUUCUGUCAUAGAAACGUGCAUUCAUGUACAUUAGAAAAGUUCUGCCAGUCAUUUGUGGCCAAUUUGUGGCCUUCAUUUCCCCCUUAAAAUCAUGUUCAUAAAGGUCACAGUAAUAUGCCAGACGAUGUUAUCAUUGGAAUCUAUGUUCUCAGCCCUAAGGCCCUAAUACUCUAUAGAAAUGUUGAACACAAUACGUGUGUUACCGAAUGGGUUAAUAUUGUAGUAAAUUAGAAUUUUUAAAAUGUAACAACUUUUUUUCUUUUAUACACUGGUAAAAUGUUGAUAAAUUACACAAAAUAGUGAAUUAAACCUUUUGUGCUAAUAGUCAACCAGGAUUGUGUUUGGCCCACCAGAGGAGUGCCUGCCUACCAUCAAACUAUAUAGAAAACAUGCAUAUCCACUUUUUAUUUUAUUUUAAUUUAUUUAUUGACACUAGCAACAAGGGAUGGUCUUCAAAUAAGCUUUAAAUAGAGUUGUCUUCUGCUGAAAACUUGGUCCCAUCCAAAGAUCCUCUGGUACUUCUGUCAGCUGAUCCUGGUAAUGUGGUUGGCAAUGUCAAAAGUGGUAGCUUUACAGAUUUUUUUUUUUUUAGUUAUGAUUUAGGGGGUUGACCAUCAGCCGCCAAGCAUUUCCACAGGUGGAUAUCCCCCAUUUCUCUCUGUAAGUAGAUGGUGGACCUCAUCUCUAAACUCAACCGAUCCGCAUAUCCAUUGUUCCAAUAAGAAGGUAACAUGUUCCUCUGGACACACUUUCAUUUCGUCGAGGAAGAUAGAAAGGAAUGUCUGCAAACAAUUGAAUGGCCCUUAUAAAGUAUGAAGGUUUCCAUGUCAAAUAUCUCAGUUUACUCUUUCAUUUCUUCCUUUUAACAGGUAUAAUAUAAAAAGUGGCUAUAUCAUUCAAAAUUUACAUUGAAAAGUAAUACAAAUAAUAAAAAUACUUAUAUGCAUGGUAUAUUGCUGUAUAUUGCUAAUAAACAUGAUGUAAUUUGCUGAAAAGAUUAUCAUUAUUGCUGGACAAGGAUGAUCUGCAAUGUCCAGUGGGUUGCAGUCAAGAAUAUUAUGUGACUGGAAUGAGCUAUGCAUCUUUUCUACAUAACAUGAUCAAUACCCUGUAUGUUCAUGCUUUGUAACAUUCACUGUAUGACAGCAUCAUAUUUAAUUUAAUAUCACUCAUGUGAACAUUCACUCAGCAUACCCUAGAGAUUUUUCUAAAAAAACAAUGCAAUCUGCAUUUGUUUCACUAUCAUGUUUCUCUUGAAACUUAGUCCCUGCUAAGCACGUGUCCUCAUUCCACCAUGUCAGUCUUGGGUCAUUAAAACAUGUGCCAAAUUUGCAAUUAUGUGCUGUUUCAAUAGAUACUUUACAGCCAUGAUAAUUUAUGGAUGACUAGAAAGAUAACUGCAAUAUCCGUGUAAUAAGAGAAGCGGUUCCUGACAUGUAGAGGUCAAGAUGCAAUGUAAGAAUAUUUUCUUUGGAUGUGCCUUUAUUAAAUAUGGUUUGUUAAACACAUGCACUUUGGAAGAAC
This is an RNA transcript of Bufo gargarizans (Asiatic toad), 3473 nucleotides long. It is a transcript of the gene named guanosine monophosphate reductase, with no coding region annotated. The transcript has 10 exons. Lineage: Eukaryota; Metazoa; Chordata; Amphibia; Anura; Bufonidae. The record is from RefSeq and is a predicted model, not a curated record.